GAUGAACGCUGGCGGCGUGCCUAAUACAUGCAAGUCGAGCGAACAGACGAGGAGCUUGCUCCUCUGACGUUAGCGGCGGACGGGUGAGUAACACGUGGAUAACCUACCUAUAAGACUGGGAUAACUUCGGGAAACCGGGGCUAAUACCGGAUAAUAUAUUGAACCGCAUGGUUCAAUAGUGAAAGACGGUUUUGCUGUCACUUAUAGAUGGAUCCGCGCCGCAUUAGCUAGUUGGUAAGGUAACGGCUUACCAAGGCGACGAUGCGUAGCCGACCUGAGAGGGUGAUCGGCCACACUGGAACUGAGACACGGUCCAGACUCCUACGGGAGGCAGCAGUAGGGAAUCUUCCGCAAAGGGCGAAAGCCUGACGGAGCAACGCCGCGUGAGUGAUGAAGGUCUUCGGAUCGUAAAACUCUGUUAUUAGGGAAGAACAAAUGUGUAAGUAACUAUGAACGUCUUGACGGUACCUAAUCAGAAAGCCACGGCUAACUACGUG
Molecule: ribosomal RNA, 497 nt
Filed under: uncultured bacterium
Lineage: Bacteria
Description: partial 16S ribosomal RNA
Rfam family: Bacterial small subunit ribosomal RNA
Source: RNAcentral